Scophthalmus maximus (turbot) is the source of this 1383-nucleotide long non-coding RNA. RefSeq lists it as uncharacterized. Lineage: Eukaryota; Metazoa; Chordata; Actinopteri; Pleuronectiformes; Scophthalmidae. The record is from RefSeq and is a predicted model, not a curated record. The transcript has 3 exons.
AGCAAUCAGCAUCUUUCUCUCUUUAUCUCGCAAAGGAGGGACAGUGAGGGAUUUGUGUUGAAGCUUACAUUUGUUGAGAUUAAGAGAGAGCGAGUGCUCGGAUGAAGUAUCUGUUCUUCUGUGGCUGCCAUAUAAUCUGAAUCAGUGGCGGCUGUGAGAGUUCAGCUCUCGGACCCUUUAUGCUGACACUGAGCAGUAACGGGUUGUUGUUAUUUUCCCCCGACCUUCAUGUACAACCGAUGAGCUCAUCUUCAGCAGCAAUGUCAUCAUAACCAACACGCCCACUGCCUUCCAGCUUCUGUUGGGUCCAACAAGGAGCGAGUGGCAUCCUCCCCGCGGCUGAGUGUUGCUGCUGGGCCAAACCCCCUGCGCCCCGAGGAGGCACAGAACGUGUGAACCCCUUUCAACUGGAGGGGGAAUCUAAAAAUAUCUCUUACUACUGGUGAAUUUGAAGGAGAUGAGCUGUCAUGGCGGCCGGGAAUCUCCUUCCUGCCUCCGCUGCAGUGGCUUUUAGAGGCACAGAUCAUCUGGGAUUAAGUUGCAGCUAUAAUCGCUCUCUUUCGAGUGACAACAGUCACACGGGCAGCUGGUGGAGUACCCCAAUAUCGCCCGCAGGGGGCGACACAGUCGCGCAGUAGAAGAGGAGGGCGCCUGACAGUCGACUCGUCCAUUCGAAGUCACGGACAGCUACAUUUUGAGACGACCCCUCCCCGUGAUGUGUCAAGGAGACAGACACUGUCGUCGAUAUGUUUCCAAAUGCCGCUGCACGCCCCGUCCGUCAGCACGAACCUCCUCUAUGCAGAGAUGCGCGCGGAGCUAAUGGAUUGUGGAUCAGUCGUGUGCUUGACAGAACUUGUAAAUACUCCAGAUGAGCUCUGCCCUGCAGUCCCUCAUCUCAGGUCCACAUCAGUUCACUCAUGCCGCCUCCUCUGCUCGACGACUCUGCCUGGUUCUUGUCAGGCCAGACACGAAGGCAAAUGGCGCAGGGCUGCACGACGUGCUCAAGUGUUUUUGCAGGGAACAGUGUGUGCACGGUCUGAAGCAGGCGCCAACAAUAUCAGGGCAUUGGAAAGAAGGCGCGCGACGCGUCGAUAUCGAUUCAGACAGCAGGUUUUCUGAAAGUUGGACUGGUGGCUCGGGGGAUAACAUUUUUUUUUUUUUAAUCCUGAGAGGCUGCAUGCACAGCUCAACUUACACAUCAGUCAACGUCCAGGUCUGAGAUGCAGCAGGAGCAUUCAUAACAUGCUGCCAAGUUCUGCUCUGUAGCACACAUGAUGUCAUGUAUGUAAAACAUAAAUAAAUAAUAGUGAAGUGAAGGGGAUUUUCACUCGCCAUCAGAAUAAACAAGGCUACACAUUCUGCACACUAGAGGGAGCACGUGAC